CUACGGGGGGCAGCAGUGAGGAAUAUUGGUCAAUGGGCGCGAGCCUGAACCAGCCAUCCCGCGUGCAGGAUGACGACCCUAUGGGUUGUAAACUGCUUUUCUAUGCCAAGAAACCCUGUUACGAGUAACAGGUUGCCGGUAGCAUAGGAAUAAGCAUCGGCUAACUCCGUGCCAGCAGCCGCGGUAAUACGGAGGAUGCAAGCGUUAUCCGGAUUCAUUGGGUUUAAAGGGUGCGCAGGUGGGCUUGUAAGUCAGUGGUGAAAUGCUGCCGCUUAACGGUAGAACUGCCAUUGAUACUGCGAGUCUUGAGUAUGGUUGAGGUAGGCGGAAUGUGUUGUGUAGCGGUGAAAUGCAUAGAUAUGACACAGAACGCCAAUUGCGAAGGCAGCUUACUAAGCCAUUACUGACGCUGAGGCACGAAAGCGUGGGGAGCGAACAGGAUUGAUACCCUUGUAGUC
RNAcentral lists this ribosomal RNA (458 nucleotides) under uncultured bacterium. Its description in RNAcentral is "partial 16S ribosomal RNA". It matches the Rfam family "Bacterial small subunit ribosomal RNA", at positions 339 to 795 of the family's 1533-position model. The record is from RNAcentral.